AUGCGGAUCCCCCUUCCCCGCCAGGAAUUCUCGCUGAAGACCCCCCCUCCUCCCCGCAUUUCCCCCCCCCCAGGGCGGGCUGCUUCUCCCCACCAUUAUGCUCGGGCUCCUCGCAGCCGCCGCCGCCUCGGGCUCCUCCGGCUCUGCCAGGCGCCCCCGACACCACCCCCCCACGCGCGCACACUCACUCACACACAGACACUCCCGCCCAUCGCCCGCCCUCCUUCCUUCCUUCCUUCCCCCUCUUCCUCGAGCUCGGGGGAGGGCAUGACAGGGAAGGGCGGGAAGGAGCGGGGGCCGCCCCAGGCUGAAGGCUGGGGGGGGCCCUGCCCGGGGGGCAGGACCCCGCGGCCGCCGCCCUCCCCUCCUGGCUGGGCCCGCGGGCUUGGGGCUCGGGAGUUUGUAAGGCGCCAUGUUGAUAAUCCUCCAUCACACCACCCGCCCCAGGAGAAGGAAGGAGAGAGACCCGAGGCGGGGGGGCGGGAAAAGAGCUGCGACAAUGGAGGACGAGAAGGAAGGGGCCGCGGGGAGGGAGCGCGCUGGGGCCGCCCCGAGGCGGCGGGGGUAGAGUCCGCUCGGCUGGGCCCCCUCAGCCCGGCCGCCCCAGCCUCUCAGCCUCCCCCUCAGUCCGCCCGCCCGCCUCUUCCCCACUUACAGCGUCGCUCCGCUCCUCACCUGGUGCAGCGGCGGCGGCGGCGGCGGCGGCGGCGGCGGCGCGCGGGCGGCGGGCUGGCUCCCGAGCCGGGGAGGGAGGGAGGGAGCGAGCGAGCGAGCAAGCGAGGAGGGCGCGGGGAGCGAGGAAAGGAGGCAGGCAGAGAGGGAGGGGGACCGGGGGAGGGGGGCGGCGGCAGCGGCGGGGGCGAGAAGUUGGGAGGCGCGCCCGCCGGCCUGCCUAGCUGCCGGGGGAAACUUUUCAAUCCCUUCCCCAGGCCGCUGCUGCUGCCUCCCCCUUCACAUGUUGGUUUUGUGUGCGUACGUGUGUGUGUCUGCGUGUGCGUGUGUGUGUUUUCCUACCCUUCCCUCCCUCGUCCCUCCCUCCCUCCUCCCUGCUCUCUGCUCCCUCUACCUCGCUCUCCCUUUCUCACCCCCCCUUGGAGUUUUAUUGUGUCUGAACCUCCCCCUUCCCCCCCCCCCCCCCUGUGGCCACAGGUCAGGUUUCUCGGGGUAAACAGGGUUGGUUUCCGAGGGUGCGAGGAGGAGCCGCCGCCGCGUGGGGAGAAGGAGAACUCUAGCGGCUGUCGUCGGACUUGCUUCUUUCCCCAAGCAGAGAUUUUUUUUUAA
Molecule: long non-coding RNA, 1281 nt
Filed under: Monodelphis domestica (gray short-tailed opossum)
Lineage: Eukaryota; Metazoa; Chordata; Mammalia; Didelphimorphia; Didelphidae
Description: lncRNA (ENSMODG00000043022.1)
Source: RNAcentral